AAUAGAAGACGAUCAGAUUCCACCCUAAUUACCAGAGUAAGAGAUGCUAUUAUGUAUUGUUUGCAUGGAUUAAUAAAAGAACUGUUUGAUUGAGCCAUGCAAUCAUUCCUCAUUAUGCUUAGAAUGCGCAUAAGAAUUACUAAAUUGCCCGGUAUGCAGAGGGAAUAUUGAGGCUAGGC
This 179-nucleotide ribosomal RNA is filed under the name Condylostoma magnum. RNAcentral's name for it is "partial Eukaryotic small subunit ribosomal RNA". Lineage: Eukaryota; Ciliophora; Heterotrichea; Heterotrichida; Condylostomatidae. The record is from RNAcentral.